GUGCUCACUUUGGCAACACCAAUACCACAACUGGAAAAAUACAAGAAAAUUAGGAUGGCCCCUAUCCAAGUUUGAUAAGCAAUUUGGUGAAGUGUUCCAUAUUUUU
Gracilinanus agilis (Agile Gracile Mouse Opossum) is the source of this 106-nucleotide small nuclear RNA. The record is from RefSeq and is a predicted model, not a curated record. NCBI's taxonomy places the organism in Eukaryota, Metazoa, Chordata, Mammalia, Didelphimorphia, Didelphidae.